This 310-nucleotide long non-coding RNA is filed under the name Zonotrichia albicollis (white-throated sparrow). RNAcentral describes it as "lncRNA (ENSZALG00000001203.1)". The record is from RNAcentral. Lineage: Eukaryota; Metazoa; Chordata; Aves; Passeriformes; Passerellidae.
UGCAGCAUCAAGAGAGCACUUGUAGCACAAAUCCAGGGGAGGAGAGGUCUGGUAAGGACAAACAAACAGGAGGCGGAAUAGAGGAAUUCAGUUCUUCAGAAGAAAAAAAUGCUCUCCAUCUUCAUAGCAAAGUGAUAAGGAAUCAGAAAGAACAAUGCUGAAAUACAUAUGAUAAGAGGUCAUCCUGGAAAAGUGAGAAAGAGUGUGCAAAAAAUAACUACACCCAGAUGAAUGCAUAAAGCAUAGAAGAAGCACAAAGAAUAUAUUAGUAUAUGGAUUCUGCCUUUUUUAAAAGGAAAUAAAAUCUCAG